UUAUGCUUCCUGGUUCUUUGUUGAGCCCCCCUUGUGUACUCUACGCUGAAUGUAGCCAACUACACUAUUUUGCGGUAAUUCGAAGGCCAGUGUUUUCAACCACGUGCAGCUUCAUAAACUUCGCACAGACGACGAGAAGAACGCUGAGUUGCGCAGACUCUGAUCGCGCAUUUUCCAUGACCUACAGGCGGCCACGAGCGCAACAUUACGAAAUCUUACCAGAAUACGAAUUUGGUAUGAUGCCAAGAAUGGCCACAUUACAGUUCAACGUGCAUCAAUCACUGCUACUAUUGUUACAUAAUAACGUACAGUCAUUGAUUGAACGAGUACACACCCUGUGGUGACAUUCCUCAACCAAAUCAUGUUGCUACUAAAUCAUAUGACGGUCUUAAAUACUAGGUUACCGAAUUGUAAGAAUAUAGCAUGCAUAAAUCGGUCGCUAAUCAAUCUAAAACAAAAUAGGCUCAAUGUCAAUAAUCCUUUAUUUUCUUGGCUUCAAGAGACAUGACAAUACUUAGGUAGUGACAUUGACAACAUAUCUAAAUAAGUAACGCUAGAGAAGUUAAACGACCACGAAGGGACUCGAACCCUCAAUCUUCUGAUUCGAAGUCAGACGCCUUAUCCAUUAGGCCACGCGGUCUAUGAAAAAGAUCACAGUAACUUGCAAUUUAAGGCUAGCAUGAGCUAUAUUGAAGUGCUAAUAUAGUCUUAACGAAAACUCAAACAUGUCCAGUUCACAAUAUUAACACAAACUACAUGGGAGAAUGCAGUCUGCCAUUAAGCAACUGUUGAGUUAAAUAAAUAAAAAUGAAAACGGAGCUAUAAAGUGCAUUUAAAAAAACUAUUGUCCUCAUUGACAGAUAAAAUUCAUUAAAGUGUUCAAAGCAAAGCAAACACAGAAUGUUGAUCCCUUCCCAAUUUCUUUUGUCUGCCUGGUGACCACAAAUAAGUAAGCGUUGUAUUCAGCAUGUGACAAUAACAUUUGAUUUGAUUUGAACAAGCAUAGAAACCCAAUUCCACUGAUGCCUUCUGCAUCAAAAGGGGACUAUGGAGCCAGAUACCUGCCAAAAGGUUGAAUGUACACUACCAUUUGAAAGUUUGGGGUCACUUAGAAAUGUCCUUGUUUUUGAAAGAAAAGAACAUUUGUUGUCCAUUAAAAUAACAUCAAAUUGAUCAGAAAUACAGUGUAGAUAUUGGAAUAUGGAAUAUCUACAUAGGCGUACAGAGGCCCAUUAUCAGCAACUAUCGCUCCUGUGUUCCAAUGGCACGUUGUGUUAGCUAAUCCAAGUUUAUCAUCUUAAAAGGCUAAUUGAUCAUUAGAAAACCCUUUUGCAAUUAUGUUAGCACAGCUGAAAACUGUUGUUUUGAUUAAAGAAGCAAUAAAACUGGCCUUCUUUAGACUAGUUGAUUAUCUGGAGCAUCAGUAUUUGUGGCAGGCUCAAAAUGGCCAGACACAAAGACGUUCUUCUGAAACGCGUCAGUCUAUUCUUGUUCUGUAGAUUGCUUAGGGCUAACAAGAUAAAGGUAAACUGUGCAGGUAAGGUUUGAAUCUAAAACAAGUGUAACUUAUCUUGGUGUGUCCCUAGAUCAAUCCCGGAUUGCUGCCAAAAUUCUUUCUAAAAUGGCAAACAAAUGGACAUUUUUGAUAUCGUAACAAUAACGUAAACUCACUCACUUUUGAACAUCGCCUUGGUCCAUACAAUUUACCUUAUUUUAACGCCCCAAAACGUAAUACUUCCAGAUCAACUGUAAUGUCAAUACCAUUGUAAAGCACAAUUUCUCCCCUUUCCAACAGAAUCAAUUACAUGACCCCCACGCUGCCCGUUUCUCCAUGAUUCAAGAAGGCAAUGAGCCCCGUCGGGUCUUUUUAAAAAUGGCGGGUGGGGAAGCGAAACUAAUGCGUGAUAGUGAUAAGGAGAUAUGUGUGGGAAAUUUGCUUUUUUUCACUCGAUCUGUCCAACUUAUCACCAUAUUGCCUCUAAAAUGUAAAUAAAACACUAUAAAGAGUUUA
Molecule: long non-coding RNA, 2011 nt
Organism: Oncorhynchus kisutch (coho salmon)
Lineage: Eukaryota; Metazoa; Chordata; Actinopteri; Salmoniformes; Salmonidae
Exons: 2
Source: RefSeq, a predicted model, not a curated record